This 758-nucleotide long non-coding RNA is filed under the name Pan troglodytes (chimpanzee). RNAcentral describes it as "long non-coding RNA NONPTRT014137". Lineage: Eukaryota; Metazoa; Chordata; Mammalia; Primates; Hominidae. The record is from RNAcentral.
UACCGGGGGCUAUCCCAGUGGAUUCAAGCAAGAUGCCAGGAACACUGGCAUAGUUUUCUAUUCUCCCCAUAUCCCCACUAACACACCCGGGAAUUCUCCUGCCUCAGCCUUCCAAGUAGCUGGAAUUACAGGCACCCACCACCACACCCGGCUAAUUUUUGUAUUUUCAGUAGAGAUGGGGUUUCACCACGUUGGUCAGGCUGGUCUUGAACUCCUGACCUGAGGUGAUCCACUCACCUCGGCCUCCCAAAGUGCUGGGAUUACAGGCGUAAGCCACCACACCCAGCCCCAUCCCUGCCACUUUAACUUCCCGCACUGAAACUCUGAUGAAACCAAUGGUGAUGAUACAAUAAAGUGAUAAAGAAAUAGUAAAAAUAAACUUUAUGGCAACAGGGAAUGGAAUGCCAAUAUGGCAGUAAAACUUUUUUUAAAAACAGAAAGAGGAAGGCCUCUCGUACCAGCAGAAUCCUGUACACAUACAAAAAAGAAAAAGCCACCUUGAUAAGCUUCAUUUACAAAAUGUUACUUAACAGGUUAAGUGUAAGAUGCAUUUCAGUAACAGGAAAGUGAAGGCAAAGCCCACUCUACAUUCCAUAAAAAGAAUCUUUAACACUGUAACACAUCUAACAAAAAAAGUCACCACAACUUUGAGAAACCCUUCUUUUGGUCAGCUGGGAACCAAAUUACAAAUUCUAAUUUGCAACACCAGAAGCAGUCAUGGGCCAACACUGGCAGCACAACAUGAGAAAGAUCCAAAG